RNAcentral lists this transfer RNA (75 nucleotides) under Streptoalloteichus hindustanus. Lineage: Bacteria; Bacillati; Actinomycetota; Actinomycetes; Pseudonocardiales; Pseudonocardiaceae. The record is from Rfam by way of RNAcentral.
GCGGCCGUGGCCCAACUGGCAGAGGCGGCUGGUCGAGAGCCAGUCCACGUCGGGGUUCGACUCCCCGCGGCCGCA